RNAcentral lists this ribosomal RNA (253 nucleotides) under uncultured bacterium. RNAcentral's name for it is "partial 16S ribosomal RNA". It matches the Rfam family "Bacterial small subunit ribosomal RNA", at positions 524 to 776 of the family's 1533-position model. The record is from RNAcentral.
UACGGAGGGAGCUAGCGUUGUUCGGAAUUACUGGGCGUAAAGCGCACGUAGGCGGCUACUCAAGUCAGAGGUGAAAGCCCAGGGCUCAACCCUGGAACUGCCUUUGAAACUAGGUAGCUAGAAUCUUGGAGAGGUCAGUGGAAUUCCGAGUGUAGAGGUGAAAUUCGUAGAUAUUCGGAAGAACACCAGUGGCGAAGGCGACUGACUGGCCCGGUACUGACGCUGAGACGCGAAAGCGUGGGGAGCAAACAGG